AUGAGCAAGAGCCCAGACCACUUCGAGUACUGUCAACAUUUCUGAUGAAUGCUUGAUGUCUUUUCCUCCAGAAUUGAGUAGGCCCCGUUCUUAGUACAGGGCUCCAAUAGGCAUGAGUUGUAAGGCAUGCAUACUUUGAGUCAGUGUAGAUGUUGACACGUAGACCCAUGACCAGUUGCAAGGCCCUGGUCUGGUUCUGGGAGUUGACAGUUUCACAGUGGUUCCUUGGGUUCUCAGCAUAGCAUGGCCUGGUACUCUGUGGUUAAAAGGCAUAUGGAACCCAAACAUAGAGUUCUUGUCCUACUGUCA
This is a non-coding RNA of Pelobates cultripes (western spadefoot toad), 309 nucleotides long. NCBI's taxonomy places the organism in Eukaryota, Metazoa, Chordata, Amphibia, Anura, Pelobatidae. The record is from the annotation of a GenBank genome assembly.